Molecule: ribosomal RNA, 235 nt
Filed under: uncultured bacterium
Lineage: Bacteria
Description: partial 16S ribosomal RNA
Rfam family: Bacterial small subunit ribosomal RNA
Source: RNAcentral
UGAGGAACAUGACUUUCGGCGGGGGAUAGCCGGCCCAACGGCCGGGUAAUACCGCGUACGACCUUUUGGGGACAUCCCCGAUUGGUGAAAGCAGCAAUGCGCCGAAAGAGUGCCUCGCGGCCUAUCAGCUAGUUGGUGGGGUAACGGCUCACCAAGGCGACGACGGGUAGCUGGUCUGAGAGGAUGGCCAGCCACAUUGGGACUGAGACACGGCCCAGACUCCUACGGGAGGCAG